Molecule: ribosomal RNA, 753 nt
Filed under: Lactobacillus sp.
Lineage: Bacteria; Bacillati; Bacillota; Bacilli; Lactobacillales; Lactobacillaceae
Description: partial 16S ribosomal RNA
Rfam family: Bacterial small subunit ribosomal RNA
Source: RNAcentral
AGAUUNCUUCGGGNUGAUUUGUUGGACNCUAGCGGCGGAUGGGUGAGUAACACGUGGGCAAUCUGCCCUAAAGACUGGGAUACCACUUGGAAACAGGUGCUAAUACCGGAUAACAACAUGAAUCGCAUGAUUCAAGUUUGAAAGGCGGCGUAAGCUGUCACUUUAGGAUGAGCCCGCGGCGCAUUAGCUAGUUGGUGGGGUAAAGGCCUACCAAGGCAAUGAUGCGUANCCGAGUUGAGAGACUGAUCGGCCACAUUGGGACUGAGACACGGCCCAAACUCCUACGGGAGGCAGCAGUAGGGAAUCUUCCACAAUGGACGCAAGUCUGAUGGAGCAACGCCGCGUGAGUGAAGAAGGUUUUCGGAUCGUAAAGCUCUGUUGUUGGUGAAGAAGGAUAGAGGCAGUAACUGGUCUUUAUUUGACGGUAAUCAACCAGAAAGUCACGGCUAACUACGUGCCAGCAGCCGCGGUAAUACGUAGGUGGCAAGCGUUGUCCGGAUUUAUUGGGCGUAAAGCGAGCGCAGGCGGAAUGAUAAGUCUGAUGUGAAAGCCCACGGCUCANCCGUGGAACUGCAUCGGAAACUGUCAUUCUUGAGUGCANAANAGGAGAGUGGAANUNCCAUGUGUAGCGGUGGAAUGCGUANAUAUAUGGAANAACACCAGNNNNAAGGNGGCUCUCUGGUCUGNACUGACGCUGAGGNUCNAAAGCAUGGGUAGCGANNGGAUUANAUACCCNGGNANNCCAUGNCGUAA